GAUCUUUAUUUUUGUAUUUUAUAAUUUUUUAAGGAUUUUUUUAAUUAUAAAUUUAUUAAAAAUUUUACUGGGGUGGUAUAAAAAUUUAAUUAACUUUUAAUUUUAAUUAACAUUAAUUUAUGAAUAAUUGAUCCAAUAAUAUUGAUUAAAAAUUUAAGUUACCUUAGGGAUAACAGCGUAAUUUUUUUUUAGAUUCAUAUCGACAAAAAAGAUUGC
RNAcentral lists this ribosomal RNA (216 nucleotides) under Toxorhynchites guadeloupensis. RNAcentral describes it as "partial 16S ribosomal RNA". Lineage: Eukaryota; Metazoa; Arthropoda; Insecta; Diptera; Culicidae. The record is from RNAcentral.